This 551-nucleotide ribosomal RNA is filed under the name Melcha sp. 1 BFS-2018. RNAcentral's name for it is "partial 16S large subunit ribosomal RNA". The stretch from base 404 to 551 matches the Rfam family "Archaeal large subunit ribosomal RNA", at positions 2544 to 2691 of the family's 2987-position model. Lineage: Eukaryota; Metazoa; Arthropoda; Insecta; Hymenoptera; Ichneumonidae. The record is from RNAcentral.
CGCCUGUUUAUCAAAAACAUGUCUUUUUGAAAAUAAUUUUAAGUCUGAUYUGCUCCAUGAAAAAAAUUAAAUAGCUGCAGAAUUUUAACUGUACAAAGGUAGCAUAAUCAAUAGUUUUUUAAUUAAAAGCUGGAAUGAACGAUUUGAUAAAGUAAAUAUUGUCUCAGAUUUAAUAAAAUUAGAAUUUUUUUUUUAGUAAAAAAACUAAAUUAGAUUUGAAAGACGAGAAGACCCUAUAGAUUUUUAUAUUUUAUUUUAAUAAAAUUUAAAUUAAUAAAUAAAUUUUAAAUGAAAAAUAUUAGGUUGGGGAAAUUAUUAAAUUAAAUUAAUUUUAAUUAUUAAUUACCAAUAAUUAUUGAAUUUUUGAUCUUAAUUAUAAAUUUGGAGAAUAAACUACCUUAGGGAUAACAGCGUAAUUUUUUUGGAGAGAUCUAAUUGAUAAAAAAGUUUGCGACCUCGAUGUUGAAUUAAGAUAAAAUUUUAAUGAAGAAGUUAAAAAUUUUUGGUCUGUUCGACCAUUAAAAUCUUACGUGAUCUGAGUUCARACCGGA